AUACGGAGGAUCCGAGCGUUAUCCGGAUUUAUUGGGUUUAAAGGGAGCGUAGGUGGGAUAUUAAGUCAGCUGUGAAAGUUUGGGGCUCGACCUUAAAAUUGCAGUUGAUACUGGUUUCCUUGAGUACGGUAUAGGUGGGCGGAAUUCGUGGUGUAGCGGUGAAAUGCUUAGAUAUCACGAAGAACUCCGAUCGCGAAGGCAGCUCACCGGGCCGGAACUGACACUGAUGCUCGAAAGUGCGGGUAUCAAACAGGAUUAGAUACCCUGGUAGUCCGCACAGUAAACGAUGAAUACUCGCUGUUUGCGAUACACUGUAAGCGGCCAAGCGAAAGCGUUAAGUAUUCCACCUGGGGAGUACGCCGGCAACGGUGAAACUCAAAUGAAUUGACGGGG
This 393-nucleotide ribosomal RNA is filed under the name uncultured bacterium. Its description in RNAcentral is "partial 16S ribosomal RNA". It matches the Rfam family "Bacterial small subunit ribosomal RNA", at positions 523 to 918 of the family's 1533-position model. The record is from RNAcentral.